Molecule: microRNA precursor, 197 nt
Filed under: Oryza brachyantha (malo sina)
Lineage: Eukaryota; Viridiplantae; Streptophyta; Magnoliopsida; Poales; Poaceae
Description: MIR812 microRNA precursor family
Rfam family: MIR812 microRNA precursor family
Source: Rfam by way of RNAcentral
AAUAAACCAAUUCCUGCGUUUUUAGAUUGAAUUUUUAACUCUUCGUCUUAUUUGAAAUUUUUUUUAUGAUUUAUAUUUUUAUUGUUAUUACAUGAUAAAAUAUGAAUAGUACUUUGUUUGUGACUAUUUGUUUUUAAUUUUUUAAUAAAAUUUUCAAAUAAGAUGGAUGGUCAAAUGCUCUAUAGAAAAAACUUAGA